AAAAAGGCUGAGAAAAAGAGGAGUAGGCAGGAAGCCGCCCGCCAGAGAGAGCAGUCAGCUGGCUGAGAGACUGCUUGGGGAAAGGUCUGCUGAAGGUAGCUUUUGAGCCCGGCCCUUGAACCUGAUUUUUGCGGUUGAGAAGAUCAGACAGUAGAGGACUGCGGGGGUUCCCGUUACAGGACAGAUGAGAUUGCCGUUUUAUACUUGUGCGGCAGAAUAAAGGUGGUACCGCGGUGAUUCGCCCUUUGC
Molecule: non-coding RNA, 249 nt
Filed under: Clostridium sp.
Lineage: Bacteria; Bacillati; Bacillota; Clostridia; Eubacteriales; Clostridiaceae
Description: T-box sequence
Rfam family: T-box leader
About the family: Uncharged tRNA acts as the effector for transcription antitermination of genes in the T-box leader family.
Source: RNAcentral